Molecule: long non-coding RNA, 309 nt
Organism: Protopterus annectens (West African lungfish)
Lineage: Eukaryota; Metazoa; Chordata; Ceratodontiformes; Protopteridae
Exons: 4
Source: RefSeq, a predicted model, not a curated record
UUUCUGUUUGUGUCUUCUAGGAGCUACCUUUACCGAAAGUCCAUCAAGUGGUCUGAGCACAUCAGUAGCUGUUUUCUGCCAUGAGCUGCCUCAUGAGUUAGGGGACUUUGCUGUGUUGCUGACUGCUGGGAUGACAUUUAAGCAAGCCAUUCUUUACAACCUCCUUUCUUCAGCCUUGGCCUAUUUUGGUAUGGUGACUGGAAUCAUUAUUGGUCACUACGGUGAAGAUGUUUCCGUGUGGAUAUUUGCUAUUACAGCUGGCUUAUUCAUGUACAUAGCUCUAGUUCAUAUGCUUCCGGAAAUGAUGAC